GGGUCGUCGCGCGCCGCGGUCGUCGUCUGCGAACUCACAUGCUGCCGCUGGACGCCGGUGCCGACGACGACGACGACGAUGAAAAAACACUCCAAGCAGCUUGAGAAGCGCAUCGACGACCAGCGUCAGUUGCUGCUGCUGCAGCAGCGAUUGCCGGGGACGGCCGCCGACAAGCGGAGACCGUCGUCGUCGUCGAAAUGCAAAAAUGGCAUAUUGAAAAACGAGUCCAGCCCCGAACUUUCGCGGCCCGCUUCCCGCAAGUCCAGACAGUACUUCCUGGAACCCAUCCGCCGGUGGAAUUCGUUCCACAACAGCCGCGAACGCAAGUCGAAUGCCGCCGCGUCCGCGGGCACGGCCACCCCGGCCUCGCCGUCGUCGUCGUCCACUAACAACCUGCCGUACCUGCAAACCUUGGUCAACCUACAGCGAGAGUCUAAGAGCGCUUGUGCCCGAUUCGCGCAAUCCGUCUUGCCCAAAACACCGCGAGGAGCUGAAGGCACGCCAGUCCUCGGUGGGGCCUUUUCUACUUGUGUGUCUGGAGCCUCUUCUACCGCCGUUUCCGACGACGACGUUCAAUCGCCAAAAUCGCUCCAGCAGACCGGCCCCGGAUGUCCGGCAAAAAAACAAAAUUCGAGUCCGAACCUGUUGUUAGUGUACGACCGCCGGCAGCAGAGUGCCGCAGUAGGAGGGAUCGGUGGGGGAAACAGCCUGACGAAUUCGCCCCGUCGGUCGGCCAGAAGGCCGAAAACACCUCCACCUCACCCUCACCACAACCAACAACAGUUAACGGCAGCAGCUAAUAGUGGCGGCGGCGUGAGGUCGGAGUCCACUGGUUCUUCGAAAAUUCCGUUCGCCAUAAUGGUGGGCGACACGCCGAUAGUGUGCCAAGAUACCGUUCCCAGAAUCAAAGCGAUCCGCGCCGAUUCGGUGACGGAGAAAUCGUCGUAUCUGGCUGUCGAUUUGUCUCCGCACCGUCGAUACUCGUUUUGUUUUGGAAAACGAACCGGAAGCAACGCUAGACGACCCAACGAAUGUUUCGUGUUGGAACCAUCAGAGAUGCUGGUGAUGGAUUAUGCGGACUCUCAAAGCGGUCUGCGCUCGUUGAAUAUUCCCCGGCACACCGGCAUGGAACGUGGUGGGGCGAUCAACCUCGUAUUCGACGACAGCUACAUUGCUGCGAUCCGGCCUGAACUGUACCAAAAAAGCAAUCGGAGCUCACAUAGCUCGGAUACCAGUUCGGCGUAUUCGGGCAGCGACACCAUGACCAGCGUGCAUUCGGGGAGCGUCUCAGUGGAGGCAGACGAGGUUGACUUGUCGGGCCUUGUCGAGUCGAUCGUCGACUCCGAUGAAGACGACCUGGGCGAUAGCAGCGAAAGCUUGACCGUCCGAGACACUGUCCGAGAGUGCCUGGAGAAGGACCCCUCGGAGCGGGCCGAGGACGACGUCGAGGUGCUGCUCGAGUUUACCCAGCACUUGAAGGCGUUCACCAACAUGACGCUGGCCGUACGCCGGGCGCUGUGCAGUGUCAUGGUGUUCGCAGUCGUCGAAAAGGCCGGCACAGUAGUAAUGAACGAUGGUGAAGAGCUAGACUCGUGGAGCGUGCUGAUCAAUGGCCACGUCGAGGUCGAGCACGCUGAUGGCGUUCCCGAUCAGCUGCAUAUGGGCGACAGCUUUGGCAUAGUGCCUACCAUGGAACGACUGUACCAUCGGGGCGUGAUGAGAACAAAGUGCGACGAUUGUCAGUUCGUUUGCAUCACGCAGACGGACUACUACAGGAUACUCCAUCAGGGUGAGGAGAACACAAAAAGGCAUGAAGACGACGGAGGAAAAUUGGUUAUGGUUACCGAACAAAGGGGUACGCUAGAAGCUGGAAGACGGGGUCACGUAGUCAUUAGGGGAACACCGGAGAGACUGAUGCUUCAACUGAUCGAAGAAAAUUCAGUUAUAGAUCCCACUUAUGUGGAAGAUUUUCUUUUAACACACCGGACUUUUAUUAAAAACUCAAUGGAAGUUGCCAACCAAUUGCUAAAUUGGUUUAAUGAACCAUCUGCGAGGGACCGUGUUACUAGAGUGGUACUACUAUGGGUCAACAACCAUUUUACUGAUUUCGAAAUGGAUCCAGUGAUGAUGGACUUUGUAGAAAAGUUUGAAGCUUGCUUAGAAGAGAAUAAAAUGGGUGGACAAUUGAGAUUGUUAAACAUUGCUUGUGCUGCAAAGGCGAGAACUAGGUGCGUUACUCUAGCUAGACCCUCUAGGGAUCAGGUGCUACAUUUUUCCAUUUUGGGAGGAUAUGAGAGAGGAUUCGGAAUAUUUAUUUCAAAAGUCGAUAAAAAAUCGAAAGCCGAAGAGGUUGGUCUUAAACGAGGUGACCAAAUUUUAGAAGUUAAUGGACAAAGCUUUGAACAUGUAACCCAUACGCGUGCUUUAGAGAUCCUCCGAGGAACUACGCAUUUGAGUAUUACUGUCAAGUCAAAUCUUUUAGUUUUCAAAGAAAUGCUUGCAACUCCUGACAACUCACCCCGACCAAGAGGUCGACAAAAACAGUCUGUGGAAAUCGCUCGUCUUCAAGACGACCCGCGAGCACGGCCGUUGCUCACUGCUCAUCUUCCUCCACCUAUCCAGCAACCCAUUAAAACAAAUGCAUCCAACACAUCAAGUGGCGGAGGUUUUAUGACUCUCGGCCCCAAAAAACGUCUUCAGCGGGCUCUGAUGAAAAUGAAUAUUUUACCAAAAAAUAUUAUUGGUGACGUGUGUGAUGACAGUUCCGUGUCGGCUAAAUCUGACUCUAGCUCAAAUUUUAAACAGUCACAUAGCCACCCGGACUUGACCUCAAUAUCAUAUCUGGACGAUACAAGGGUAGCAGCGGAUUAUCCAGAGCACGUAUUAAAAGUUUAUAAACCUGAUCAGACUUGCAAAUACCUAUUGGUGCAUAAAGAAACUACAGCUCAUGAAGUAGUCAUGCUUGCAUUACAAGAAUUCGGAAGCAUAGAACCGAGUUCACUUUAUUCUUUAUGUGAAGUCUCAGUGUCAGAAGGGGGUAUAAUUAAACAGAGAAGGUUGCCAGACCAACUACAAAAUUUAGCAGAACGAAUUGGGCUUAGUAGUAGAUAUUACUUAAAAAAUGUCAGUAAUACUGAAACAUUAGUUGGAGAUGAACUUGCAGCUGAUUUAAUAAGAGAAAGUCAUGUACAUUUUUUACAAUUAAAUGCUGUUGAAGUGGCAGUACAACUAACACUACAAGACUUUUCCAUAUUCAGGCAAAUUGAAGCAACAGAAUAUGUUGAUGACUUAUUUCAAUUAGACAGUCGUUAUGGAACACCAAUGCUAUCUAAAUUUGCUGAAUUGGUAAAUACAGAAAUGUUUUGGGUUGUAACGGAAAUUUGCUCUGAACACAACCUUAUUAGAAGGUCAAAAAUGAUCAAACAAUUUAUAAAAGUUGCACGUCAAUGUAAGGAAUGUAAAAAUUUUAAUUCUAUGUUUGCCAUAAUUUCUGGACUUGGACAUGGAGCUGUUAGCCGUUUACGCCAAUCGUGGGAAAAACUACCCACAAAAUAUCAAAGAUUAUUUAGUGAUCUUCAAGAUUUAAUGGAUCCUUCACGGAACAUGAGUAAAUAUCGUCAACUAGUCAGCAACGAACAAUCUCAACCUCCAAUUAUUCCAUUUUAUCCAGUAGUUAAGAAAGAUUUAACAUUUAUUCAUCUUGGUAAUGAUACACAUGUAGAAAGUUUGAUUAAUUUUGAAAAGUUAAGAAUGAUUGCCAAAGAAGUUAGAAAUCUAACAAACAUGUGCUCAUCACCUUAUGACUUACUUACAAUGUUAGAACUUGGUGGACAACCUACAUCUAAUGCAAUGGUAGCAUUGAAUCAACUUACUACAGGUGUAAGUGGAAGUGCUCAUCAGGGAGGUGCUGCCACUUUUAAAAGAAGAAAAAAAUCAACUGCAGCCCCAAAUCCAAAAAAGAUGUUCGAAGAAGCCCAAAUGGUAAGAAGAGUUAAGGCUUAUUUGGCAAAAAUGAAAGUACUCACUGAUGAAGAAAAAUUACAUGAACUAUCAAUGAGUUGCGAAGGUUCUAGUACUGGUGGAUCUAUAAUGGGAUCUGGGCCAAUAAGAAAACGUCAUCCAUCACCUACUCUUUCAACAGCUAGCAGUGCUAGUAGUGCCAGUGAAGGCUUGAAGAAUACUGGUCCUAAAUUUGGUUCUGCUUCACCACAAGCUGUAAAAAAGUUAUUGUCGUUGAGUGAGCCAAGCAAAACCAGACUACAUCAACCCAGGUAUCAUAUGGCACCUUCUCCAGGUCCACCAACUCGUCGCAAUGUCCACCAACCACCUAGUGUUCCAGCAACAUCUCAUGAACGUUCUCAUUCAGAUACUACCCCUCUAAACCCACCUCCACCAUUACUCUUAUCAUCCGUUGAUCUGAAUGCUGAAAGCAGUAGUGUUACUAGUUUAUCAAACCUGUCAUUAAGAAAGACUGUGACAUCUAUUUGUCCUAGCGGGUUCAGUGACGUCCAGCGAUUCAGGACACUCGACUCAAACGAGCGGAUCAACAGAUGUAUGCAUGCCCCCGGGAACAUCUCCUCCACCACCACUCCAUUUGAGGAGACAUUCAGUACUACAACCUCCAGCGAGUUAUCAGAUUGGAAACCGUCCUAUUUAUUCGUCAAACAUGCAGAUGAUGGGAUCAUCGACCAACUGUGUGCGGACAAGACCACCACCAGCUUAUAACACAAGUGUCGCCCAAAUGGCAGCUAGGAUGCACCGUUUAGGUAGAGCACAUUCACAUGAAGGUGUCACAUCAACAUACUAUCUACGAGAUGAUGGUGAUGAUGAUGAUGAUGAUGAAGAUGCUCAAGUGUCUGCUGUAUGACUAGUCAACUACCCAUGAUGUAAAAAAAAAAUGGCCAUGAACAUAUCAAAACAAAAAUUGCUUGUAAACAUUU
Molecule: unclassified non-coding RNA, 4940 nt
Filed under: Rhopalosiphum maidis (corn leaf aphid)
Lineage: Eukaryota; Metazoa; Arthropoda; Insecta; Hemiptera; Aphididae
Description: rap guanine nucleotide exchange factor 2, transcript variant X1
Source: RNAcentral